RNAcentral lists this long non-coding RNA (681 nucleotides) under Zonotrichia albicollis (white-throated sparrow). RNAcentral describes it as "lncRNA (ENSZALG00000014928.1)". Lineage: Eukaryota; Metazoa; Chordata; Aves; Passeriformes; Passerellidae. The record is from RNAcentral.
UUACUAUCAAAUAACCUUCGAAAUGUUACUAGUUAUUACGUGUCAGAGGGCAGAUUUAUGAUAAACUAACUUUGAAACAAAAUAAUGAAUUCUCAGCGUUCUGUUUCCAGCAGCAUUUCUGGUAAUUUGGCUGGAUUUAAAUUUUAAAACAGUGGAGUUGAAUACAGUGGUUAACUGCAAGCAAUAUGUUCUGAAGAUGAUGGUGUUCAGACAAAUACCCAAUUUGAUUCUGAUAAAUUGGAUGCAAGACUUUGACCAGCAUGAGAAGAACAGGCAUUGUGGAAGCAGGCAGCAUCCCAGAUCUGUGGAGGAGCUCAGCAGGAGGAGAACAAGUGGGGGAAAAUAUUCCUAGUGUUGUGUUGCUGCUCAGGCAGUUUGACCAGGGGCCUGUGGUGGUCCAGCUCGUUGGAAACUUUUGUGCAGAAACCAGGAGGAUGCUACAGCUGGAGCUAAUCCCUGAGAAAACAGCACCACCAGCAACAACAGUUUGCUCUAGACAAGAAAAAAGGUGGAAGAGGUGGGGCUGAGAGGGGUUUUCUCCUUCAAAAGAAGAAAUGUGGCUUUCCAGGCACCUGUGUGCUGAAAUGGAUUGAGAUGCAGGUGAGGUGGACUCGCUCCUCUGCAGGGUGGGGGAAAGGGCAGAGUUUGUUCGGGUCUUGGGGUGGUUUGGGCUGGUGCCCU